Molecule: ribosomal RNA, 501 nt
Filed under: uncultured bacterium
Lineage: Bacteria
Description: partial 16S ribosomal RNA
Rfam family: Bacterial small subunit ribosomal RNA
Source: RNAcentral
AUUGAACGCUGGCGGCAUGCCUUACACAUGCAAGUCGAACGGCAGCACGGGUGCUUGCACCUGGUGGCGAGUGGCGAACGGGUGUGUAAUACAUCGGAACGUACCUUAUCGUGGGGGAUAACGCAGCGAAAGCUGUGCUAAUACCGCAUACGCCCUGAGGGGGAAAGCGGGGGAUCGCAAGACCUCGCGCGAUUAGAGCGGCCGAUGCCUGAUUAGCUUGUGGGGGGGGUAAAAGCCCACCAAGGCGACGAUCAGUAGCUGGUCUGAGAGGACGACCAGCCGCACUGGGACUGAGAAACGGCCCAGACUCCUACGGGAGGCAGCAGUGGGGAAUUUUGGACAAUGGGGGCAACCCUGAUCCAGCAAUGCCGCGUGAGUGAAGAAGGCCUUCGGGUUGUAAAGCUCUUUUGUCAGGGAAGAAACACCGGCUCUAACACAGUCCGGGAAUGACGGUACCUGAAGAAUAAGCACCGGCUAACUACGUGCCAGCCGCCGCCGUAA